GCCAGACUCCUACGGGAGGCAGCAGUGGGGAAUAUUGCACAAUGGGGGAAACCCUGAUGCAGCAACGCCGCGUGAGUGAAGAAGUCAUUCGUGAUGUAAAGCUCUAUCAGCAGGGAAGAAAAUGACGGUACCUGAAGAAGAAGCCCCGGCUAACUACGUGCCAGCAGCCGCGGUAAUACGUAGGGGGCAAGCGUUAUCCGGAUUUACUGGGUGUAAAGGGAGCGUAGGCGGGGAUGCAAGUUGGGUGUCAAAACUACCGGCUCAACUGGUAGUCGCACUCAAAACUGCAGCUCUUGAGUGAAGUAGAGGCAGGCGGAAUUCCUAGUGUAGCGGUGAAAUGCGUAGAUAUCAGGAGGAACACCGGCGGCGAAGGCGGCCUGCUGGACCGCGACUGACGUUGAGGCUCGAAAGCGUGGGGAGCGAGCAGGAUUAGAUACCCCCGUAC
This 445-nucleotide ribosomal RNA is filed under the name uncultured bacterium. RNAcentral describes it as "bacterial SSU rRNA". It matches the Rfam family "Bacterial small subunit ribosomal RNA", at positions 330 to 793 of the family's 1533-position model. The record is from RNAcentral.